RNAcentral lists this ribosomal RNA (882 nucleotides) under uncultured Actinomycetes bacterium. RNAcentral's name for it is "bacterial SSU rRNA". It matches the Rfam family "Bacterial small subunit ribosomal RNA", at positions 1 to 888 of the family's 1533-position model. Lineage: Bacteria; Bacillati; Actinomycetota; Actinomycetes. The record is from RNAcentral.
CGCGGGAUUAGAGUUUGAUCCUGGCUCAGGACGAACGCUGGCGGCGUGCUUAAUACAUGCAAGUCGAACGAGAUCCAUCCAGUGGCAACACUGGUGAAGAUCUAGUGGCGAACGGGUGAGUAACACGUGAGGAACCUGCCCCGAAGACCGGGAUAACUCUCCGAAAGGAGUGCUAAUACCGGAUACCCCCACCAGACCGCAUGGUCAGGUGAGGAAAUGGAUUCCGCUUCGGGAGGGCCUCGCGGCCUAUCAGCUUGUUGGUGAGGUAACGGCCCACCAAGGCAUCGACGGGUAGCUGGUCUGAGAGGACGAUCAGCCACACUGGGACUGAGACACGGCCCAGACUCCUACGGGAGGCAGCAGUAGGGAAUCUUGCGCAAUGGGCGAAAGCCUGACGCAGCAACGCCGCGUGGGGGAUGAAGGCUCUCGGGUUGUAAACCCCUUUCAGUGGGGACGAAAUUGACGGUACCCACAGAAGAAGCCCCGGCCAACUACGUGCCAGCAGCCGCGGUAACACGUAGGGGGCAAGCGUUGUCCGGAUUUAUUGGGCGUAAAGAGCUCGUAGGCGGUUCGGUAAGUCGGGUGUGAAACCUCCAGGCUCAACCUGGAGUCGCCACUCGAUACUGCUGUGACUAGAGUCCGGUAGGGGAGCGUGGAAUUCCUGGUGUAGCGGUGAAAUGCGCAGAUAUCAGGAGGAACACCAGCGGCGAAGGCGGCGCUCUGGGCCGGAACUGACGCUGAGGAGCGAAAGCGUGGGUAGCAAACAGGAUUAGAUACCCUGGUAGUCCACGCCGUAAACGUUGGGCACUAGGUGUGGGACCCUNCUCACGGGUUCCGUGCCGUAGCUAACGCAUUAAGUGCCCCGCCUGGGGAGUACGGCCG